RNAcentral lists this transfer RNA (72 nucleotides) under Sus scrofa (pig). It matches the Rfam family "tRNA". Rfam says of the family: Transfer RNA (tRNA) molecules are approximately 80 nucleotides in length. Their secondary structure includes four short double-helical elements and three loops (D, anti-codon, and T loops). Further hydrogen bonds mediate the characteristic L-shaped molecular structure. tRNAs have two regions of fundamental functional importance: the anti-codon, which is responsible for specific mRNA codon recognition, and the 3' end, to which the tRNAs corresponding amino acid is attached (by aminoacyl-tRNA synthetases). tRNAs cope with the degeneracy of the genetic code in two manners: having more than one tRNA (with a specific anti-codon) for a particular amino acid; and 'wobble' base-pairing, i.e. permitting non-standard base-pairing at the 3rd anti-codon position. Lineage: Eukaryota; Metazoa; Chordata; Mammalia; Artiodactyla; Suidae. The record is from Rfam by way of RNAcentral.
UUCCUGGUGAUCUAGUGGUUAGGAUUUAGUGCUUUCACCACUGUGACCUUGGUUCAAUCCCUAGUCUGGGAA